UCGCCGGAAAAGUCUUCAAGA
RNAcentral lists this small nuclear RNA (21 nucleotides) under Arabidopsis thaliana (thale cress). Its description in RNAcentral is "snRNA_09018". The record is from RNAcentral. Lineage: Eukaryota; Viridiplantae; Streptophyta; Magnoliopsida; Brassicales; Brassicaceae.